Molecule: long non-coding RNA, 249 nt
Filed under: Numida meleagris (helmeted guineafowl)
Lineage: Eukaryota; Metazoa; Chordata; Aves; Galliformes; Numididae
Description: lncRNA (ENSNMEG00000017279.1)
Source: RNAcentral
CCUUGGUCUCUUGCAAUGCAAAGAGGUCAAGGUUUAUCUUCCUCUCUACUCUCCUCAGUGGUGAUCAAGGAAAAUAAAAUCAAAAUACACAGAAAAUGAAACCAAGAGAAAUGGCAACGGUCCCACUACUCCGGACUGCUUAUCUGCAAUUGCUGUGUGCAAGAAACUCCUAAUACAUGUUGUGAGGGUUACCUGAUACCAUGGAGGAACUUCUUAUGAAGACUUUCCUUUAGUGGAAUUCAUGGUAAU